RNAcentral lists this ribosomal RNA (253 nucleotides) under uncultured bacterium. Its description in RNAcentral is "partial 16S ribosomal RNA". It matches the Rfam family "Bacterial small subunit ribosomal RNA", at positions 524 to 776 of the family's 1533-position model. The record is from RNAcentral.
UACAGAGGUCCCAAGCGUUGUUCGGAUUUACUGGGCGUAAAGGGUGCGUAGGCGGUUGGGUAAGUCUGACGUGAAAUCUCCGGGCCUAACCCGGAAACUGCGUUGGAUACUACCUGACUAGAGGAAUGGAGGGGAGACUGGAAUACUUGGUGUAGCAGUGAAAUGCGUAGAUAUCAAGUGGAACACCAGUGGCGAAGGCGAGUCUCUGGACAUUUCCUGACGCUGAGGCACGAAAGCGUGGGGAGCAAACAGG